Molecule: ribosomal RNA, 253 nt
Filed under: uncultured bacterium
Lineage: Bacteria
Description: partial 16S ribosomal RNA
Rfam family: Archaeal small subunit ribosomal RNA
Source: RNAcentral
UACCAGCACCCCGAGUGGUCGGGACGAUUAUUGGGCCUAAAGCAUCCGUAGCCGGUUUUACAAGUCCCCCGUUAAAUCCACCUGCUUAACAGAUGGGCUGCGGAGGAUACUAUAGAGCUAGGAGGCGGGAGAGGCAAGCGGUACUCGAUGGGUAGGGGUAAAAUCCGUUGAUCCAUUGAAGACCACCAGUGGCGAAGGCGGCUUGCCAGAACGCGCUCGACGGUGAGGGAUGAAAGCUGGGGGAGCAAACCGG